ACACAGGUUUUUAUAAAAUCCACCCAAGAAAAUUUAAUUAAUAUUGU
Non-coding RNA from Papio anubis (olive baboon), 47 nucleotides. The record is from Rfam. NCBI's taxonomy places the organism in Eukaryota, Metazoa, Chordata, Mammalia, Primates, Cercopithecidae.